CCCAGGAAAUGGAAGCAUCUGGCUGGAUGAGGUGAAGUGCAGGGGCAGGGAGUCCUCCCUGUGGGCCUGUGCUGCAGAACCCUGGGUCAGAGCAACUGCAAGCAUGAGGAGGACGCUGGAGUUAGGUGCUCUGGUGAAAGAACAACAUUGUUCCCCAUUACAUUAAGUACAGUGUCACCAUCUAUGGAUGGGGGGCAUAUUCAGACUUUGGGACCUGUUCUGUGGAAUCUCAGACAGAGUUAACCAAUUCAGGAAGGGAAAAUCCUGAGGAGCCUCUGGCUGGUGAUCAGGGCAUCUUUCCCAGGGAAACUUCUGCUUCUUUGGGUCACAGUGCCAGAAUGUCCCUCACGUCCUUGGGCCUUAGGAGUCUGGCUUCAGUGCUGUGGAAUGUAAGGUUUUCUGCAUUGCCAUUUAUGUGGGAUAAAGGUUGUUUACCCUUAAAGGUA
This is a long non-coding RNA of Cebus imitator (Panamanian white-faced capuchin), 446 nucleotides long. RefSeq lists it as uncharacterized. NCBI's taxonomy places the organism in Eukaryota, Metazoa, Chordata, Mammalia, Primates, Cebidae. The transcript has 2 exons. The record is from RefSeq and is a predicted model, not a curated record.